GACAGAGGGUGCAAACGUUGUUCGGAUUUACUGGGCGUAAAGCGCGUGUAGGCGGCUUUGCAAGUCGGAUGUGAAAUCCCACGGCUCAACCGUGGAAGUGCAUCCGAAACUGCAUCGCUCGAGUCUCGGAGAGGAAGGUGGAAUGCUUGGUGUAGAGGUGAAAUUCGUAGAUAUCAAGCAGAACACCUGCGGCGAAGGCGGCCUUCUGGACGAUGACUGACGCUGAGACGCGAAAGCGUGGGGAGCAAACAGG
RNAcentral lists this ribosomal RNA (253 nucleotides) under uncultured bacterium. RNAcentral's name for it is "partial 16S ribosomal RNA". It matches the Rfam family "Bacterial small subunit ribosomal RNA", at positions 524 to 776 of the family's 1533-position model. The record is from RNAcentral.